RNAcentral lists this unclassified non-coding RNA (543 nucleotides) under Hevea brasiliensis (rubber tree). The record is from RNAcentral. Lineage: Eukaryota; Viridiplantae; Streptophyta; Magnoliopsida; Malpighiales; Euphorbiaceae.
AGUACAUAAAUCUCUUUCCUGUUUUUCCUUGAACUCUUUUCAUUUAGCAAUGAAAAGCCCAAAACUUACAUGGUGUUGAAGGCUUAAGGUAUUCAAGUAAUUUUGAAAAUCUUGUUCGCUUAAUAUUUAUUAGUUCUGUGUUCUUCCUCUUGUAGCCUUUAAUUGCAUUAUUAGCUCCAGAAACUAUCCAAAUGAAAAAGAAGCCCCCAACGUCUCAAUUUUACAAAAUAACAAUACACCAAACUAAACAAGCAACUACCUGAAGACGCCGAUAAACCAUGCUUGCUCAUAUAUGUUUAUAUAACAAAAAAGAAUAAAUUAAAAAAUAAAAAUUAUAAUCAGAUGAAGAUUCUUAGUAGUCGUCCAGACAGUAAGUUCAAAGAUACAUAGAAUAAAAUCCUAAAAGAAGUAAAAGUUUUGCAUCAAGCAAAUUGAAAGCAGAUGCAAACAUUUAAAUCCAGUUGACGAAUACAAGCGACCUUACGGUUCUUCAAGCAGGUUUUCUUAUAAGAAAGAUCCGUUUGGUUGCUAAGAAAGUGCAGG